GACGAACGCUGGCGGCGUGCUUAACACAUGCAAGUCGAACGGAAAGGCCCUGCUUUUGUUGGGUUCUCGAUUGGCGAACGGGUGAGUAACACGUGAGUAACCUGCCCUUGACUUUGUGGUAACUUCAGGAAACUCCGGCUAAUACCGGGUAGGAGCUCCUGCUGCGUGGUGUGGGUUGGAAAGUUUCGGCGGUUGGGGAUGGACUAGCGGCUUAUCAGCUUGUUUGUCGGGUAGUGGCUUACCAAGGCUUUGACGGGUAGCCGGCCUGAGAGGGUGACCGGGGACAUUGGGACUGAGAGACGGCCCAGACUGCUACGGGAGGCAGUAGUGGGGAAUAUUGCAGAACGGGCGGGAGUGAGAUGUAGCAACGCCGCGUGCGGGAUGAUCUGUUUCGGGUUGUAAACCGCUUUGGAAGGUGCCGAAGCGUGAGUGACGGUAAUGGGUAAAGAAGCACCGGCUAACUACGUG
RNAcentral lists this ribosomal RNA (468 nucleotides) under uncultured bacterium. Its description in RNAcentral is "partial 16S ribosomal RNA". It matches the Rfam family "Bacterial small subunit ribosomal RNA", at positions 28 to 507 of the family's 1533-position model. The record is from RNAcentral.